UGGGGAAUAUUGGACAAUGGGCGAAAGCCUGAUCCAGCAAUACCGCGUGUGUGAAGAAGGCCUUCGGGUCGUAAAGCACUUUUAGCAAAGAAGAAAUGCCCAAGGUUAAUACCCUUGGGAGAUGACGUUAUUUGCAGAAAAAGCACCGGCUAACUCUGUGCCAGCAGCCGCGGUAAUACAGAGGGUGCGAGCGUUAAUCGGAAUUAUUGGGCGUAAAGCGUGCGUAGGUGGAUAUUUAAGUCGGAUGUGAAAUCCCCGGGCUCAACCUGGGAACUGCACUCGAUACUGGGUAUCUGGAGUAUAGUAGAGGAAAGCGGAAUUCCCGGUGUAGCGGUGAAAUGCGUAGAUAUCGGGAGGAACAUCAAUGGCGAAGGCGGCUUUCUGGACUAAUGCUGACACUGAGGCACGAAAGCGUGGGGAGCAAACAG
Molecule: ribosomal RNA, 428 nt
Filed under: uncultured bacterium
Lineage: Bacteria
Description: bacterial SSU rRNA
Rfam family: Bacterial small subunit ribosomal RNA
Source: RNAcentral